AAUCUACAUUCGACAAAAAUUAAUUUGACAUACAGUCACUGAAUAAAUAAAAUAUACGGUUAUCAAUUUCUAACAGUGGACUAAUCGUUUCAAAUAUCUAGUAGAGCACAUUUAAAAUUCAAUUUUACAGAUUUUUAAUUAUAUUAUAGUACAAUACUACAGUCCCACAGAAUAUAUUAUCUUCUAUUAAGAGAUACCGACAAAAAUAUAAAAUGAUAAGCGUUGUCAAAUAAAAGAAAUGGACCAGAAUUUGUUGAAUUUUUGGAAAAACUACGAGCACAUAAUCGAUUGGGGUUAUCGAAUUUCAGGGGCUAGAGGAACGGAUAGCAGUGGAUCAUCGGCACCAAUCAAUACUGAAACUAUAGAAAUUAAUACUUGUAGAACUUUUAACACCAAUGAAAAUGAAUACGAUGCUUGUGAAUAUUCUUCCGAUAGCAGUGUUGAUAUUGAUUUAGAAUAUUUAAAGUUUUCUAAAAAAACAUUGUAACAUCAAGAAAAAGUAGAAUUAGAAAAGAGAAAAGUUGACAAAGAGUACGGAUUGUGCAAUUCACCAAGUUUUGAAAAUGAAUGUACCAGUACAAUCAAGGUAAAUGAGAUUAAUCCAAUAGAAUUCUAUGGCUCGAAGAUAAAUGAGAUUGAAUGUCUUGAAAAUA
Molecule: long non-coding RNA, 653 nt
Organism: Rhopalosiphum maidis (corn leaf aphid)
Lineage: Eukaryota; Metazoa; Arthropoda; Insecta; Hemiptera; Aphididae
Exons: 5
Source: RefSeq, a predicted model, not a curated record